AUUGAACGCUGGCGGCAGGCCUAACACAUGCAAGUCGAGCGAGCGGCGGACGGGGGAGUAAUGUCUGGGGAACUGCCUGAUGGGGGGGGAUAACUCCUGGAAACGGUAUCUAAUACCGCAUACCAUCAGAGGUGCGCCGAUGGGAUUAGCUAGUAGGGGGGGUAACGGCUCACCUAGGCGACGAUCCCUAGCUGGUCUGAGAGGAUGACCAGCCACACUGGAACUGAGACACGGUCCAGACUCCUACGGGAGGCAGCAGUGGGGAAUAUUGCACAAUGGGCGCAAGCCUGAUGCAGCCAUGCCGCGUGUGUGAAGAAGGCCUUCGGGUUGUAAAGCACUUUCAGCGGGGAGGCGUUACCCGCAGAAGAAGCACCGGCUAACUCCGUGCCAGCAGCCGCGGUAAUAC
This 406-nucleotide ribosomal RNA is filed under the name uncultured bacterium. RNAcentral's name for it is "partial 16S ribosomal RNA". It matches the Rfam family "Bacterial small subunit ribosomal RNA", at positions 29 to 526 of the family's 1533-position model. The record is from RNAcentral.